This 942-nucleotide long non-coding RNA is filed under the name Anser brachyrhynchus (Pink-footed goose). Its description in RNAcentral is "lncRNA (ENSABRG00000013788.1)". Lineage: Eukaryota; Metazoa; Chordata; Aves; Anseriformes; Anatidae. The record is from RNAcentral.
UGUCGCAUAAGUUUAAGCUAACCGAUCGCUCAUCUUGCUAUAAAACAUAACCCGGGCAUCUCCCGUGUGAUAUCCGGCCACUGGAACAUCAACGCUGCUACAGGAGCAUCUUGGCUAAUUGUACCCAUCAAUAAAAAUAGAUUACACACACACACACAAAAAAAAGGCAUCAAUUAAAAGUAAGAAGCUAUGAGAAAGCAGUCACUUUUAAUGCAUCAUUUAUCACAACAACCCGGUGCUCUGCUCCUCUACAAUUUUUAGAACUUCUAUUGCCAUGACAACAGGAUGCAGCCUUUACACAGUGUGGGCCAAACCCUGCCCUUGGUGACUCAGAUGCAAAUUCAGAGUAACUUUGCUGAAAUGCCUGGAACAGCAGCGAUGCAAGUCCACUGUAACGGAGGAAGAAUGGGUCCCGCGCUCUCCUUUAUAGCUGGCCCCACACAGUCACACCCUUUCUGCCUGCAUGGAAGAUGCUCCAACGUCACUGCCCCACAAUGUUCUCAGGCUGGCCACUCUUCCCUGUGAAGUCAGCAGGAAUUCACUGACAGGUAAAUGCCUAUACAUGGAUGGCUACAGCUGAAGAAAGCAGAGCCCCUGGAUCUAUUUCAUCUGGAUUGCUCUAUGAAAGCAUUUACCGGACUGCCAGCCAAAUAACAGUUUUCAUUAACUACAAUAGCAAGCGGAAAUCCAGUUGAACAAGUGCUGUGGAACUCAGUAAAGCUAAAUCUGCUAGAUUCAUACCCUAAUGGUAGUUUUAGACCUCCAUUCCUGUUAUAAAACCAGAUGAAGCCAACAGGCAGAUGCUGUAGGUAGGCUGGAGACAGGAAUACGCAGAAUGUAAAAAGCAAGGGAUUCUUUGCAUGCAGUUUGCACACCUAACCAGCCAACAAAAUCCUAUACAAUAGAAAUACAUUUCUCCUAUUAAAUUCCAAGAGUACACAG